This 484-nucleotide ribosomal RNA is filed under the name uncultured bacterium. RNAcentral describes it as "partial 16S ribosomal RNA". It matches the Rfam family "Bacterial small subunit ribosomal RNA", at positions 28 to 523 of the family's 1533-position model. The record is from RNAcentral.
GACGAACGCUGGCGGCGUGCUUAACACAUGCAAGUCGAACGAUGAACCCGGAGCUUGCUCCGGCGGAUUAGUGGCGAACGGGUGAGUAACACGUGAGUAACCUGCCCUUGACUCUGGGAUAACUGCUAGAAAUGGUAGCUAAUACCGGAUACGACCCUCGGUGGCAUCACCAGGGGGUGGAAAGAAUUUCGGUCAAGGAUGGACUCGCGGCCUAUCAGCUAGUUGGUGAGGUAACGGCUCACCAAGCGGACGACGGGUAGCCGGCCUGAGAGGGUGACGGGCCACACUGGGAGUAAGAGAGGCACCAGACUCCUACGGGAGGCAGCAGUGGGGAAUAUUGCACAAUGGGCGCAAGCCUGAUGCAGCGGCGCCGCGUGAGGGAUGACGGCCUUCGGGUUGUAAACCUCUUUCAGUAGGGACGAAGCGCAAGUGACGGUACCUACAGAAGAAGGACCGGCCAACUACGUGCCAGCAGCCGCCGUAA